This 486-nucleotide ribosomal RNA is filed under the name Salmonella enterica subsp. enterica serovar Ibadan. Its description in RNAcentral is "partial 23S ribosomal RNA". It matches the Rfam family "Bacterial large subunit ribosomal RNA", at positions 161 to 688 of the family's 2925-position model. The record is from RNAcentral. Lineage: Bacteria; Pseudomonadati; Pseudomonadota; Gammaproteobacteria; Enterobacterales; Enterobacteriaceae. RNAcentral also lists the same sequence under 1 other name.
AAUCCAUAGGUUAAUGAGGCGAACCGGGGGAACUGAAACAUCUAAGUACCCCGAGGAAAAGAAAUCAACCGAGAUUCCCCCAGUAGCGGCGAGCGAACGGGGAGGAGCCCAGAGCCUGAAUCAGCAUGUGUGUUAGUGGAAGCGUCUGGAAAGGCGCGCGAUACAGGGUGACAGCCCCGUACACAAAAGCGCAUGUGCUGUGAGCUCGAUGAGUAGGGCGGGACACGUGGUAUCCUGUCUGAAUAUGGGGGGACCAUCCUCCAAGGCUAAAUACUCCUGACUGACCGAUAGUGAACCAGUACCGUGAGGGAAAGGCGAAAAGAACCCCGGCGAGGGGAGUGAAAAAGAACCUGAAACCGUGUACGUACAAGCAGUGGGAGCACCCUUCGGGGUGUGACUGCGUACCUUUUGUAUAAUGGGUCAGCGACUUAUAUUCUGUAGCAAGGUUAACCGUAUAGGGGAGCCGCAGGGAAACCGAGUCUUAAC